AAAGAUAUACAAUUUAGAGUCUAGUCCUACCUAUCAUACUAAAAAUGCACAGCAAAUUUUUCACAUCACACCACAAGACUUUAGUCAAGAGGACUAAGAAAAAUACUCAUAAUUGUAACUCAAAAACCAAAGGAAAAAGCAUGUAAUUUUUUUUUAAGAAAGCAAACAAAAACCAAAACAGAGAAAAACUAAAAACAAAACAAAGAAACAAAACAAAUAAAUGGUUCCCUCCCCCA
RNAcentral lists this long non-coding RNA (236 nucleotides) under Lathyrus oleraceus (garden pea). Its description in RNAcentral is "Pisum sativum (pea) long non-coding RNA (PSAT_LNC024808)". Lineage: Eukaryota; Viridiplantae; Streptophyta; Magnoliopsida; Fabales; Fabaceae. The record is from RNAcentral.